AUACAAAUAGCUGAGACAGUUGAGCAUGAGAUUCUUAAUCUCAUGGUUGUGAGUUCAAGCCCCACUUUGGGCA
Podarcis lilfordi (Lilford's wall lizard) is the source of this 73-nucleotide non-coding RNA. The record is from the annotation of a GenBank genome assembly. Lineage: Eukaryota; Metazoa; Chordata; Lepidosauria; Squamata; Lacertidae.